This 497-nucleotide ribosomal RNA is filed under the name uncultured bacterium. RNAcentral's name for it is "partial 16S ribosomal RNA". It matches the Rfam family "Bacterial small subunit ribosomal RNA", at positions 28 to 507 of the family's 1533-position model. The record is from RNAcentral.
GACGAACGCUGGCGGCGUGCCUAAUACAUGCAAGUCGAGCGCUGAAGGUUGGUACUUGUUCCAACUGGAUGAGCAGCGGACGGGUGAGUAACGCGUGGGGAAUCUGCCUUUGAGCGGGGGACAACAUCUGGAAACGAAUGCUAAUACCGCAUAAAAACUUUAAACACAAGUUUAAAGUUUGAAAGAUGCAAUUGCAUCAUUCAAUGACGAUCUCGCGUUGUAUUAGUUAGUUGGUGAGGUAAAGGCUCACCAAGGCAAUGAUACAUUGCCGACCUGAGAGGGUUGUCGGCCACAAUGGGAAUGAGACAAGGCCCAAGCUGCCACCGGGAGGAGCAAGAGGGAAACUUCGGGAAUGGGGGGAAAGCUUGACGAGGAACGCCGGAUGGGGUAAGAAAGUUUUCGGAUCGUGAAACUCUGUUUGUAGGGGAAAAAGUUGGUGAGAAUGGAAAGCUCAUGAAGUGACGGUAACUACCCAGAAAGGUACGGCUAACUACGUG